This is a non-coding RNA of Ciona savignyi (Pacific transparent sea squirt), 81 nucleotides long. The record is from Rfam. NCBI's taxonomy places the organism in Eukaryota, Metazoa, Chordata, Ascidiacea, Phlebobranchia, Cionidae.
GUCGUCGUGGCCGAGUGGUUAAGGCGACAGACUAGAAAUUGUUGGGCUCUGCCCGCACAGGUUCGAAUCCUGUCGGCGACG